This 56-nucleotide transfer RNA is filed under the name Phyxioschema suthepium. RNAcentral's name for it is "tRNA-Leu". The record is from RNAcentral. Lineage: Eukaryota; Metazoa; Arthropoda; Arachnida; Araneae; Euagridae.
UCCUAAUUGGCAGACUAAUGCAAUAGAAUUAGAAUCUAAUUAAACCUAAUUAUUAU